This 800-nucleotide ribosomal RNA is filed under the name Bacillus velezensis. RNAcentral's name for it is "bacterial SSU rRNA". It matches the Rfam family "Bacterial small subunit ribosomal RNA", at positions 28 to 814 of the family's 1533-position model. Lineage: Bacteria; Bacillati; Bacillota; Bacilli; Caryophanales; Bacillaceae. The record is from RNAcentral.
GAGCAGGGCGGGGCGUGCUAUACAUGCAAGUCGAGCGGACAGAUGGGAGCUUGCUCCCUGAUGUUAGCGGCGGACGGGUGAGUAACACGUGGGUAACCUGCCUGUAAGACUGGGAUAACUCCGGGAAACCGGGGCUAAUACCGGAUGGUUGUCUGAACCGCAUGGUUCAGACAUAAAAGGUGGCUUCGGCUACCACUUACAGAUGGACCCGCGGCGCAUUAGCUAGUUGGUGAGGUAACGGCUCACCAAGGCGACGAUGCGUAGCCGACCUGAGAGGGUGAUCGGCCACACUGGGACUGAGACACGGCCCAGACUCCUACGGGAGGCAGCAGUAGGGAAUCUUCCGCAAUGGACGAAAGUCUGACGGAGCAACGCCGCGUGAGUGAUGAAGGUUUUCGGAUCGUAAAGCUCUGUUGUUAGGGAAGAACAAGUGCCGUUCAAAUAGGGCGGCACCUUGACGGUACCUAACCAGAAAGCCACGGCUAACUACGUGCCAGCAGCCGCGGUAAUACGUAGGUGGCAAGCGUUGUCCGGAAUUAUUGGGCGUAAAGGGCUCGCAGGCGGUUUCUUAAGUCUGAUGUGAAAGCCCCCGGCUCAACCGGGGAGGGUCAUUGGAAACUGGGGAACUUGAGUGCAGAAGAGGAGAGUGGAAUUCCACGUGUAGCGGUGAAAUGCGUAGAGAUGUGGAGGAACACCAGUGGCGAAGGCGACUCUCUGGUCUGUAACUGACGCUGAGGAGCGAAAGCGUGGGGAGCGAACAGGAUUAGAUACCCUGGUAGUCCACGCCGUAAACGAUGAGU